RNAcentral lists this ribosomal RNA (497 nucleotides) under uncultured bacterium. Its description in RNAcentral is "partial 16S ribosomal RNA". It matches the Rfam family "Bacterial small subunit ribosomal RNA", at positions 28 to 507 of the family's 1533-position model. The record is from RNAcentral.
GACGAACGCUGGCGGCGUGCCUAAUACAUGCAAGUAGAACGCUGAAGAGAGGAGCUUGCUCUUCUUGGAUGAGUUGCGAACGGGUGAGUAACGCGUAGGUAACCUGCCUUGUAGCGGGGGAUAACUAUUGGAAACGAUAGCUAAUACCGCAUAACAAUGGAUGACACAUGUCAUUUAUUUGAAAGGGGCAAUUGCUCCACUACAAGAUGGACCUGCGUUGUAUUAGCUAGUAGGUGAGGUAAUGGCUCACCUAGGCGACGAUACAUAGCCGACCUGAGAGGGUGAUCGGCCACGCUGGGACGGAGACACGGCCCAGACUCCUACGAGAGGCAGCAGUAGGGAAUCUUCGGCAAUGGGGGCAACCCUGACCGAGCAACGCCGCGUGAGUGAAGAAGGUUGUCGGAUCGUAAAGCUCUGUUGUAAGUCAAGAACGGGUGUGAGAGUGGAAAGUUCGCACUGUGACGGUAGCUGACCAGAAAGGGACGGCUAACUACGUG